CCUAGCCAGGACAGACCUCAGGAACUCCACUGACAUGGUAAAGAGAACACAGAGCUGGGGCCAAAACCAGUAGCAGCAAGGCCUCGGGCCUGGUGAACACUCUGACCUUUGUCUAAAUCAGCCUUGGAGCAAGAACGUAAGAAGGGGGAAGACUCAGGCAUCGCUUCAGCUGGAGAACCAUGGAGGAUUUAUCCUUGGGCCCAGACGUAACCAAGGAAACCGUUAAGACAGAGACGUGAUUUCAGACCCUUUCACUGAAAGAGUGGGCUGGCAUUUUGCCCCUUUGCCAACUGUGUUCCAGUGAAUACACAGUGCCUACCUCCGGGCCCCACCAGAAGGGAGCGAAAUGGGUGAGACGGGCAUUCUCUUCUCUCUGACCGGUCUCCUCGACGGAUAAAAAUGAGACCAUGGUGAGAGUGGGCCUGCCUGCAGUGGUUAGAACAGCUUCUCUAGGAGCAACGACAGAGGGCAGACUUCAUCACCUGCGUUCCUGCAGUCUUCUCGGGCCCCCACUGGGGCUGUCC
RNAcentral lists this long non-coding RNA (524 nucleotides) under Bos taurus (domestic cattle). Its description in RNAcentral is "long non-coding RNA NONBTAT020089". The record is from RNAcentral. Lineage: Eukaryota; Metazoa; Chordata; Mammalia; Artiodactyla; Bovidae.